GUGUACAGGGCUCCUCCUGUUUUGAACCAGCUGGCGCAACUGGACUCCCCCAGCGGUGGUGUGGAAGUCAGUGAAGUGCCAUCCGCCCUGGAAGAGCCAGAUAGUAAUCCAGAGGAUGCUUUGACUUUCGGUGGUGAUGGUGCUGACAGCUGCCCUGCCGUGGACACCGAGGACACUGCUAUCGAAGUGCCCCCUGAGGAUGUACUUGAGGCGUUCGCUUCAAUUGUGUGCCAGCAGGCGGGCACACUUCGAGAUGCCUGUAUUCAGGUGAAUCCUCAACCACAAAUUGGGCGGCUGAAGCCACUGCUGUCAUACAGGCUUGUUGACGAGGAAAACAAAAUUCGGACUCUCACAGGCAUAGGAUGUCUACAGCUUAUGCACAAUAUAAUUGCUGAAUUUACUGCCCUGCGAAGUGUUUGUGCACCGAGAGGCUUUGCCUUAAGUGAUGAAGAUGUUGUGUUAAUGGUUUUUGUCAAGCUUUAUCAUAACAUUAAUUUCAGUUUUCUGGCGAUUCUGUUCUCUGUGCAUCGAACAACGGCAGCCAGUAUUGUGAAGAGUGCCAUUUGCAUGCUUGCACGUGUACUCGCAGAAGGUGUUUUUUUUCCGUCAAAAGAGUCUGUUCUUGAGAACCUGACUGUUAUUUUAAACGGUAUAGAAAUACACGUGUUGUGCUCGACUGCACAGAGAUUGGAAUUGAAAGACCACGGGAUCUGGCAUCCCGCUUGCUGACGUACAGCCACUACAAGAAAACAUACACUGUCAAGGUCCUGAUUGGUUGUGCACCAAGUGGGAUGAUAACAGUGGUAGGCGCUGGGUAUGGGGGAAGAGCAUCUGAUUCCCAACUCACUGCCCGCUCUGAUGUUUUGGACCUGUGCAUGCCUUAUGUUGACCAUGUGAUGGUUGAUAAAGGAUUUUUGAUUGAAAAGCUUUGUGAAAAUGCAAGGGUAACGAUGGAUCGACCCCCAUUUCUGAAGAAACGGCAGCAGAUGGAGGAGCACGAGUCCCUUCGUAACCAGGCUAUUGCCAGGGCACGAGUCCAUGUGGAAAGGGUUAUCCAACGUUUAAAAUUGUAUAAAGUCUUGCAGCAGAAAUUUCCCCUGCAACUUCUGCCUGUCUUUGACAAAGUGGUGUUGCUACUAGCUGGUGUGGUGAACCUGUCAAGGCCUAUCUUGGCCGAAGACAAGUUCUUACCAAAUUCUUAAUUCUGAGGCCUCUGAAAUUAUUGAGUUUAAAGACUUCAUCCCUGCAGAUUCAGAAAAUGUUAUCACUCCUUGAUUCACAAGUGGUUCUUUUUUAUUUUUUUUUGCACUAGUGCACUGCGUAUGUUUUGCACAGUGAUGUUUUAUGUGGGCAGCGGCAGAGCAUCUAACUGUAUAUGUACAGUAUUCAUGAGUUCAGACAAGACAUCAAAUUUUCUGGUAUUGGGUGCAAAGAGUUACGGAGUCGCGCUCUACUGGGUGCACCUCGCGUGCUUGGUAGGAUAACACCGACGAGCUCUCCAUAUGUUUCACUGUCAGCGCUCUAAGUAAACACCAUGCGGAUGCUCUCCCGUUUAUGUCUGUGAAUACUUUCGAAAUGGGGGAAGUUUGCACAGUAGAAGCAUAGUCCCUCAAUACUUUUUCUGGUCACGAAACUGCCGCCUCAGUUUAAUAUAGAGCCAGCGCCGGCCGCUAGGAGUGCUACAGUACAGGCCAUCUCGCCGAGCGGCCGCCGCAGGCGACGCUUGCUUUUUUUUUUUUUUUUUUCUCGGGUUCAUCGCUGCCGAAAGUCCCACUCCUUCUACAGAUUACUUAAAUUCUAUUUUCUUCUAUGAAUUAUACUAACUAAACUUGAACUUCUCAUAAUGUUUUCUUACUGAAGACAAGACGCAUAAAAGGUUAACAAUCUCAGUCAGCUGGCGGCUAAGUGUGCCAGCAGACGACGUGCACGGACUUUUUCCUGCUGUGAAGUCUCUCUUUAGAUUGCACGCAAAUCGUUCCAGCAGUGGUGACGGGCUCUAAUUUUACGCAACAAGAAGCUUUCCUGAAAGUGAGCUUGCACUUGAGCGUAGUAUCUGUUUGGAACAGGCACAUUGACAGAUUGUAGCCAUCAAUGAAACGCUUACUUGACCAAGCUUUCGUGCACAUCAUUCCAAGUGUGCGACAAAGUUUCCUCACGUGAUUGUUGUUGUCAAUAUUCCCUAUGAAAACCUCGCGAAUUAAUAUGCCCCCCCCCCCCCUCCCUGUCUCAGCACUUCGCUCGGUGACAAGGAUCAGCGCGUGAAUGCGCUCAGUAGCUACCAUGUUUUUUUGGUGAACCAAGAAGCAUAAUAGGAUUGUAAUCACGGGAUUUUUUAAGGAAAUGAAGUCGUGCAAAUGCUUGAGAAACAACAUCCAAUUUUCGCCUUCGCUCAGCAACGGGGUAGUGUAAAGUGCUCCAGCAAUGUUAAAGGAGUAUUGAUACAGCAGUCUCGUAUCUUUUUUUUUUUUUUGCUGUAAGUUACUAAUGGCCCAUUUAUCACGGCUGGAAGUCUACUUUGCUCAGAAAAUGAAAUUACUUCUGUGGCAUGGCAUUUUCGUAAGCAGCACAGCGCUGCAUUAGCAAAUUUAAGGAGAUGUAAAAUUUUCAAAAACUGUUGCUGUCAGCACGCAAGAUGCAUAUGCAGAGACUCCAACUAAGUGAUUAUGCAAAUAAUUUGCAGUCUGUAAAUACUGACACACAGACAGUGCAGAAAAGGUUACAGAACAAAAAUAUUUUAUUGCUCCAACAUGAAAGCUAGUUUUUGUCUGUGCUUGAGUUUUGUUGGUACUGAUAGGCGGUGAUUUUAAUGCAAUAUUCAAGAAACAACAAAUUAUGUAUGUAUACUACAGGUUACUGAGAAUUCCAACAAUAAAAAACUACGCAAGUACAGAUCCUAGCUGGUAAGGGCGACAAGUGCCGACUGCUUCGGACAAGCAGACUUUUGGCUUCCGCUAGCGGGGCAGGUUGUUCGCACGCGCUUAUUCUUUUCUCUAGUAAAGAAAUGCAGGCAAGUCCUAAGAAGAAGAAAAAAAACAAUGACCUCAGCAGUGAUGCGGCGGUCGAACAGCGGCGCUCUGUGGUCGUGGCAUCGGCUUGGUUAAAUAGCCUGGCAGGCCGUCGAAAACACGAUGAAUGGCGUUAGGCCUGAGGCGUGGCUUGUCCCCCGGUAACAAUACGGCGUCACCGUUUAUCAAGAAAUUGUCUGUACGGAUGAUAUUCGACGAGUCAAAGUGCCUCGCGCACACACACACACGCUUCGAAUUGAAGCUGAAGGUCCGUCUCUUGUCGCGGUAUGGCUCGCUUCCAGUUCUUGAACAGCUCGCGAACACUUGGCAUGCAAAACAGCAAUACCUUUUCGCUGUUGCCCUUGUAGCCGGAACGGCACCCCGGUACACAGCACCUGGACGGCAUCGUGCCGUUUCAAGUGAACAAUACUAGAAACCGGCUCUCAUCUGAAAAGCAGACACACACGAAGCACACGUCCAAACUUUCCACUCGAGCCAGCCGCAAGUGCGGUCUCUCCGGUAUCAAACCGAAGAAGCGUGGCCUAUGAGCUGCAGUGGCGCCGCGGCGUGGCGUCUUUGUGCGACAUAUGAAGCUCCCCCAUAGCGUGACAGCGAAGUUUCGUGACCAGAAAAGUAUUGAGAGACUAUGGUAGAAGUAAUAACCUUGGAUAAAAAGAAAGCACAAUUCUUUACCGGUGCUUUCUGUUUUCAGAAAAUGUACAGUGACUGCUCAUUGUGCGCUCACCGUGCAUUCACCUAUAUCCCUAAACAAGCUUCUUGCAUGAAAGGCAGGCAAUUCGUGAAGGCUAACUACAUGGCAUAAACUCUUACAUUGGUCUGUCUGUAUAAAUACAUAAUGCUUACCAGAAUGUGCCCUCAAUUAAGUGAUCACGCAACCGCAGCAUAGAUGAGCAUUCCUUACUACACACGAAGAGCAGUUGUUGCAUGGACGUUACCGAAGCUUCUAGAAAAUUAUAUCUUGCGCAUUUUAAAAAAAUUGACACCUAUGGCAACUUCAGCUAGAUUCUCUUUUUUCCAUCUAUGUUCUUGGACGUUUCAUUAUCAUUAUUACUCAAGUGGUGUUGCAAUUUCCAUGAAUUUUUUCAAGCUAUUACAUUUGUUGGUUGGGGCUCAGGCAAACAUGAGUAUAUGCUGUGUCUUCUUUGCUAACAUGACUCCUGCCACUCCCUUUGUAUUCCAGUGACCCUGCCAAUAAUGUCAAAACGUACACAUACCAAAGGUUAAAGGAGCACUGACAUCAAAUUUACACGUCAAGAUUUUUGCAUGCGUGAGCAGUUAUCGACCCCCUAGUAGCGAUACCCAAAAAUGCAACUGAGAGAUGAAUAACCAUCUUUUUUAUUGAUUUAUAUCACCGGUAUCUAGCACGAUUCAAAAGGGCCGGCAAGCCCGCUAUUUCUCAGCGCUGGCAGCACUUCCUCGCGGUGACCUCCAGACUGCGCCAAGCUGACCGCUUGUCCGCAGAAAGGAAUGACGACAGGCUCAGCUGAUCAGCUAACAUUUCGUCUGCGCACACAUUCAGUCAUGCCUUGUCAUCAGCGUUUCCGUCAGAACUGUCAGCUAGUUUUGAAGACGACAUUCUGGAACUUUGAAUCGCCACGAUUCGCGAUAUCGCGAAUCAUUUUCGCUUUGACCCUUUACAAAAACAGCAAUUCAAAAAUGGUCGCCGUUACAAGCAGAGGAGGUGCCUGGGGACGCACGCUUGGGCAAUGCUCGCUGGUGCGUCUCAGUUAGCUAUAGUAGAGAAUUUUAGAGUGCACGGCAUUCCGGUUUACGCAAAGGGAUCUAUGCAAUAUACCAGCGGAGAAAUAGAAUGCGUUAGGUUCUUCUUUGCGCCGCUAGACGGCCCCACCUAUACAGCCUCUCACGCUUACAGUUGCAGUAACCCGGUAAGCGCAGAGAAGUUUGCGUGUUACUUGUUAACAAUGGUAUUCAUCAAUACGCUGCUCCACUUUGAUAGCUUGUGGUCGUGUUGGCGCGUACCAUACGUGUAAUGAAACGACUCACUAUUUCCACUUUCUCUGCGCGUCCAACAACACAACUGCAGCUCACAACGAUUCCCCAACAUGCUGACUGACAAGCACAUGUCAAAUCAUACUCUUGUCUUUAGCCUGUCUUUCCUUGGUGGUUUGCGUCUGGUAAUUUCAUGAAAUCAAUUUAAGCGUUGCGGCAAAGAACGUGAGUGAGAGCGUUUGCAGGCAUCGGCGCAAGUAGGCACUACGAUAAAAACACCCAGGUCGUCGAUGUCAUCGCUACGAGCGCAUCGUCACUCGGUGGUAUGCACGUUAUGUACCACCCUGAACAUGUCGCAAAGUGUCGAUGUUGCAGGGUGCUGAAAGCCCUUUUGAGCUUUCGUAUGCCCUUUGCCCUCGAAAUAAAAUAACUUCCAGGUGACGGACGUCAUUCAAAGUUGGUCAGAUAUACUUAUGCAUACCGAAGAAUCGAAUGAAGGACACAUCUCGAGAUUGAAAUUUUGUGUCAGUGCCCCUUUAAGACUAGGUUUUACGACUGCUGUUAGAAGCAGUUUAUGAAGCGAAAUGCAAAGAUGAACAGCUACUACAUAAUAUUCAGUGGACUAGUCCUCCAAACAUAAGGAUUUGCAUGAGCUAGGACUCUCGGUGAAAGAGAGAAGUCAUCGCAGCUAGUAGCUGCAAAGCAGGGUAUAAAAAGGGUUUAGAGAGUGCAAAGAGUCGCUGGACGACAAUGCACUCAUAGUUGUUUGCAUGAACCACAUGCAACUGACAACAAAUGACAGUUGGUGCUAGUAUUUCGCGACCUGCUGUCCUCCGUGACGUCAGACUUGUGUUGACACAUCACUGUGAAGCCACCCCCUCGAUACAGAAACCAGAAGUGCUUUUGAAAAUCGCAUUAUUAACAAUAUAUUCAAUGCAUUCUGAAGCACUAUGACACUGCUUCUAGGUUUCUCGACAUUCAUGUUUUUAUUUAGAGCAACAAGAUGAAAAUAUUUAAAUUUCAUGUCGAUACUCCUUGAAGUUUUGGUUUGCAGUAUUUUUGUAAGUUCUGCAGCAAUUUUCGUGGCAAAACAGUGUUUAUAUUGCUAAAAGCAUAGCAACUUUGCUGCUAGAACACAUACGGCUUCGUAGGAAAAGUUAGGAUGAGCCAAAUUUAAUUUGGGGGGACGAUAUGGAGGUGAGCAGAGACGUUUGUUUUUGUUGCUGUCCCCUUCUUUCCGUUGAAAGGUCUCCUUGGAGAGUGCUCACAAGGAUCUUGGCAGCCAAUACAAACUCAUGAUGCUGGUGGCAGUUGGUUGUUUACACGGAAUCCAAAGGCGGCGCAAGCGUGCAGUGGCACAACACGUAUACGCAUUAUAAAAUUGAUCUAAGAAAUGCUCUAGGCUAUAUUAUCCAUUGAUAUCUCCUAGAUGAUGCGUGUGUAUCCUCUCAAAUCUAUCCCACAGGUUAUCUCGUCUUCGAAAUUUUGUGUCAGUGCUCCUUUAAAUACACAUCUGGGUAAGAAUGCUGAACUCUGAGCUAUUCAACAUGCAUAUUACAUCAAGGACACUUCCGUUUUGUGGAAUUGAAUUCUUGUGCAAGUGUGUCGGGGCAAAGGAAGGGGGGGUGAGAAUCAAGAGACUUGGCAAGAAUUUUUCGAUUGUGAAAAAUAACAAAAACCUAUCUUGGAGCCUCUGGCUUUUAAUGACAGAACACUGUUUACGUUUACAUACUCAUAUGCUUGUCUUACUUGAAAAGAGAACAGAAUUUUCAUUUUAUUGUGUACCCUGUUUAUCAGAAAAAGCAGCUGUCAUAGUGCCAGAGCAGAUUCCCUACGCCUUGUUUUCUUUCUCUACUUGCACUCACAUGUACGAUUCAGGUGCUACAUUAAUUUUCAUUUGUGUAUAUCUUGUUGUUACGAGUUCACUUAUAACUUGCUUACUGUGAUUUUUUUUUCGCUCUAUUUCCUUGUGCAGAGUUUGUAAAAGUGUAUUGAGUGUUUGCUUUAAUAAAGCCUUAUGUUUGCUAAUUUUGACUUGUUACUGUUAAUGAAGAUUCCUCAGACCCUUGUCCACAACUUGUGCCUCUGCCUGCUGCAUUUUUGUAUUAUUUUUGAAGAAAUUGAUGCCUAAUAAAUGAAAGUUUCGUAAAU
Long non-coding RNA from Rhipicephalus sanguineus (brown dog tick), 7127 nucleotides. RefSeq lists it as uncharacterized. NCBI's taxonomy places the organism in Eukaryota, Metazoa, Arthropoda, Arachnida, Ixodida, Ixodidae. The record is from RefSeq and is a predicted model, not a curated record. The transcript is spliced from 4 exons.